GAAUUCGCCCUUGGGGAAUUUUCCGCAAUGGGCGAAAGCCUGACGGAGCAAUACCGCGUGAGGGAGGAAGGCUCUUGGGUUGUAAACCUCUUUUCUCAGGGAAGAAGAAAGUGACGGUACCUGAGGAAUAAGCAUCGGCUAACUCCGUGCCAGCAGCCGCGGUAAUACGGAGGAUGCAAGCGUUAUCCGGAAUGAUUGGGCGUAAAGGGUCCGCAGGUGGCAUUGUAAGUCUGCUGUUAAAGAGUCACGCUCAACGUGAUAAAAGCAGUGGAAACUACAAAGCUAGAGUAUGGUCGGGGCAGAGGGAAUUCCUGGUGUAGCGGUGAAAUGCGUAGAUAUCAGGAAGAACAUCGGUGGCGAAGGCGCUCUGCUAGUCCAAAACUGACACUGAGGGACGAAAGCUAGGGGAGCGAAUGGGAUUAGAUACCCCAGUAGUCCUAGCCGUAAACGAUGGAUACUAGGCGUAGCUCGUAUCGACCCGAGCUGUGCCGUAGCUAACGCGUUAAGUAUCCCGCCUGGGGAGUACGCAGGCAACUGUGAAACUCAAAGGAAUUGACGGGGGCCCGCACAAGCGGUGGAGUAUGUGGUUUAAUUCGAUGCAACGCGAAGAACCUUACCAAGGCUUGGCAUGUCACGAAUCCUGUUGAAAGAUAGGAGUGCCUUCGGGAACGUGAA
This 675-nucleotide ribosomal RNA is filed under the name uncultured cyanobacterium. Its description in RNAcentral is "bacterial SSU rRNA". It matches the Rfam family "Bacterial small subunit ribosomal RNA", at positions 344 to 1032 of the family's 1533-position model. The record is from RNAcentral. Lineage: Bacteria; Bacillati; Cyanobacteriota.